RNAcentral lists this small nuclear RNA (293 nucleotides) under Jaculus jaculus (lesser Egyptian jerboa). RNAcentral describes it as "7SK RNA (ENSJJAG00000007214.1)". It matches the Rfam family "7SK RNA". Rfam says of the family: 7SK was discovered as an abundant small nuclear RNA in the mid-70s but a possible function has only recently been suggested. Two independent studies have found that 7SK RNA binds the CDK9/cyclin T complex (known as elongation factor P-TEFb). P-TEFb activates transcription by phosphorylating the C-terminal domain of RNA polymerase II. Lineage: Eukaryota; Metazoa; Chordata; Mammalia; Rodentia; Dipodidae. The record is from RNAcentral.
GCAUGUGAGUGCAAGCUGGCUGCGACAUCUGUCACCCCAUUGAUUGCCAGGGUUGUUUUGGCUGAUCUGGCUGGAUAGGUGGGUGUCCCCUUCCUCCCUCACUGCUCCAUGUGUGUCCCUCCCAAAGCUGUGAGCUGAGUCACAGAAUAUGACCUUCCCUGAAUGAAGGAGGACCGGUCUUCGGUCAAGGGUAUAUGAGUAGCUGCGCUCCCCUGCUAGAACCUCGAAACAAGCUCUCAAAAAGAUGGAUAAAUAAGUACUUUCCAUGACAAAAGAAAGCUAAAGGAGUAUUU